Molecule: ribosomal RNA, 407 nt
Filed under: uncultured bacterium
Lineage: Bacteria
Description: partial 16S ribosomal RNA
Rfam family: Bacterial small subunit ribosomal RNA
Source: RNAcentral
GACGAACGCUGGCGGCGUGCCUAAUACAUGCAAGUCGAACGCAGUUGCGAACGGGUGAGUACCGCGUAGGUAACUUCCUCAUCGCGGGGGUUAACUAUUGGAAACGCUAGCUAAUACCGCAUACUGUGAGAUUGACCUGCGUUGUGUUAGCUAGUUGGUGAGGUAAAGGCUCACCAAGGCGACGAUCCAUAGCCGACCUGAGAGGGUGGUCGGCCACACUGGGAAUGAGACACGGCCCCAGCUCCUACGGGAGGGAGCAGGAGGGGAAUUUCGGCAAUGGAAGGAAGGCUGAACGAGCAACGGCGGGGGAGGGAAGAAAGGUUUCGGAUUGUAAAGCUCCUGUGUUAGAGAAGCGGUAACUAACCAGAAAGCGACGGCUAACUACGUGCCAGCAGCCGCGGUAAUAC